GACGAACGCUGGCGGCGUGCUUAACACAUGCAAGUCGAACGGAAAGGCCCUGCUUUUAUGGGGUGCUCGAGUGGCGAACGGGUGAGUAACACGUGAGUAACCUGCCCUUGACUUUGGGAUAACUUCAGGAAACUGGGGCUAAUCCCGGAUAGGACCUCCUGCUGCAUGGUGGGGGUUGGAAAGUUUCGGCGGUUGGGGAUGGACUCGCGGCUUAGCAGCUUGUUGGUGGGGUAGUGGCUUACCAAGGCUUUGACGGGUAGCCGGCCUGAGAGGGUGACCGGCCACAUUGGGACUGAGAUACGGCCCAGACUCCUACGGGAGGCAGCAGUGGGGAAUAUUGCACAAUGGGCGGAAGCCUGAUGCAGCAACGCCGCGUGCGGGAUGACGGCCUUCGGGUUGUAAACCGCUUUCGCCUGUGACGAAGCGUGAGUGACGGUAAUGGGUAAAGAAGCACCGGCUAACUACGUG
This 468-nucleotide ribosomal RNA is filed under the name uncultured bacterium. Its description in RNAcentral is "partial 16S ribosomal RNA". It matches the Rfam family "Bacterial small subunit ribosomal RNA", at positions 28 to 507 of the family's 1533-position model. The record is from RNAcentral.